UAGCCUUCUGUAACUAAUAAUGUCCUUCCU
This 30-nucleotide non-coding RNA is filed under the name Mus musculus (house mouse). Lineage: Eukaryota; Metazoa; Chordata; Mammalia; Rodentia; Muridae. The record is from RNAcentral.